This 244-nucleotide unclassified non-coding RNA is filed under the name Hevea brasiliensis (rubber tree). The record is from RNAcentral. Lineage: Eukaryota; Viridiplantae; Streptophyta; Magnoliopsida; Malpighiales; Euphorbiaceae.
CCUUGGUCUUGAUAUGUUAGGCAGCCAUCUUGCUGCAUAAAUUUUCAAUGCGUUACCGAUGAGAUUAGAGGCUAUCUUUCCACCAGAUUUAAUAGCUACCAUGGUUCUCCAGUAUAGGUCUAUGCCUAAUUCUGCCAUAUCUUCAGCCCACCACCCCUUGCUCGCAGGUUUAUGCCUCUGGCUCUCAGUUCCAUUACAGGAUACAUCGUCCCUUGCUCUUCUAGAGUAACUGUGUGACAAACUU